Molecule: long non-coding RNA, 3857 nt
Filed under: Sus scrofa (pig)
Lineage: Eukaryota; Metazoa; Chordata; Mammalia; Artiodactyla; Suidae
Description: lncRNA (ENSSSCG00025044760.1)
Source: RNAcentral
UUUUUUUUUUUUUUUUGGCCACCCACAUGACAUGUGGAAGUUCCUGGGCCAAGAAUUGAAUGUGUGCUACAGCAGUGACAAUGCCAGAUCUUUAACCUGCUAGCCACCAGGGAACUCCCCUCCAUAAAGGUGUUUUUUUUUUUUUUUUGUCUUUUUGCUAUUUCUUUGCAUAUGGAGGUUCCCAGGCUAUGGGUCGAAUCGGAGCUGUAGCUGCCAGCCUACGCCAGAGCCACAGCAGUUCGGGAUCCGAGCCGAGUCUGCAACCUGCACCACAGCUCACAGCAACGCCGGAUCGUUAACCCACUGAACAAGGCCAGGGACCGAACCCGCAACCUCAUGGUUCCUAGUCGGAUUCAUUAACCACUGUGCCACGACGGGAACUCCCAUAAAGGUUUUUGUAAUCUUUAAGGAGAAAGUUAUCGUCCUCCUUUGGAGAGUUUUCUUCCUCCUUUGAACUCAGAGCAAUAUUACAUUUACCCUUCUCCCAGGGUGUGUGUCUUUGAUGUUUUUACAUAUUUUUAAUGUGCUCAGAAACUAAUGCCUUCUGGGCAGAGACCACAUCAGAUCUCUUUGCAUCCUCCAUCCUGCUUUAUAUACAUUAGGCAUUUAAUGUAUCUGUUAAUUUAAGAGUUGCCUGUUACGAAAAUGGUUCCCAGAGAUUAAUUCAGGACUACUGCUUUGAUUGCAUAGGAUUGCAAGGGAUGGAUCACUUUAUAUUCACUGGAUCCAAACCCUGCCAUUUUUUUUUUUUCAAAUACUAUCAUUUUAAGUCAGACAAUAAGCAGCUGCCUCUUAGAUCACAGCUAUGGUGGAGUGUCUGAUGCCUCAGCCAGUCAACAUCCAGCCCCCAUAUAGGGGGCUUUGCACUCUUUCAUCUUAGGUAUUCCCUAUCCUGCUCCUAUGGAAAAUCAAGGCAACCAACAAUGGGGAACCCUACUUGGAAGCAAUAAGGCAUUUGAAAAGUGUAAGUUACUGCAUGCAGUCAUCUGAUGCUUUUUACAGAGCUAGACACUGAACCUACAUGUGAUUACCUAACACUUGUAAUCUGGUAUUCAAAUGCCCUCAGUGCCCUGCUCCUAAAUUUCCUUUUGUUUUUUUGUCUUUUUGUCUUUAGGGCCGCACCCACAGCAUAUGGAUGUUCCCAGCCUCAGGGCUGAAUUGGAGCUGUAGCCCCCGGCCUACACACAACCACAGCAACAUGGGAUCUGAGCCACAUCUGCAACAGCCCACAGCUCAAGGCAAUGCCAGAUCCUUAACCCACUGAGCAAGGCCAGGGAUCUCUACAUCCUCAUGGAUACUAGUCAGAUUCAUUUCCACUGAGCCACGAUGGGAACUCCCUAAACUUCCUUUCUAAUGAUAGGCCUACUAAUCCCACACCAGAAAGCCAUGACUGUGCAAAGAACUACUAAUAUUUUACAGUUUACUCCAGAGGGAAUUAAUCCCCUGUCUUCUAUUUCCAAUCCAACUGGUCCCUUCCAGCUCCCUCUUCCCUUUGGCUAAAAGUAAAUUCUCCAUUUUCUGAACUCUGCCACUCCCUUAUGGCACCAAAUCUCUUUAAAUCUUGCAUUAGGGUUAUUUACAUCUUUUUAUUUUUUUUUUAAAAGAGAGAUUUGUUUAUUUGGCUAUACUUAAAGCAUGUGGAAAUUCCCAGGCCAGUGAUCAAACCCGUGCUACAGCAGUGGAAUGAGCCACUGUAGUGACAACGACGGAUCCUUAACCUGCUGCACCACAAGGGAACUCUAAUACAGUUAUUUACGUCUUAUUUUCCCUGCUGUAACAAGCAUAGUGAAGGCAGGGUUUCUGAUUUGCUUUUUACCUUGAACAGCAAGCUUACAAGUAAGAGGCAAAGAACCUGUUGAUUGGUCCAGGUCCCUACCCUCUCUCUCGUUUGGGCUUUGGCAAAAGCCUUCUAACUGUUCCUGGGAUUCCACUCUCUCUCCUAUCCUUAUCCUUGUGAAACACAUCAGCUUGAGUCAGUCCCUCAGUCAAAGCCCUUUAGACAUUCACAUCCUCACCACACCAUCUGCCUAACUUUGCUGCUGUCACACUGGCCUUCUUGCUUUCCGUCUAUUCUGCUAACCACCUCCUGCCUCGAAUGCCUUGCAUGUGAUGUUUUUUCAGGGUAGAACAGUGGCUAUUAGUAGACUAUGGUCUAGGAUACUAGGUACUAUCUUCUCUCAUAGGGAUCCUUUUGGCCACUCUCUAGCAACCUUGUGUCAAUCCUGAAACCAGAGUGCUGGGUUUGAAAAGUUGGCUUUACCACCUACUGGGUGUGUAUGAUUUAGGGUAAAUUCAUUACACUUUUUCUUGCUAGUUUCCUCAUCGGUAAAAUGGGAGUAAUAAUUAGACGUUUGAUUGUUUAGAACAGUGCCCACCUGAUACACAGCAAGGGUUCAAUAAGUUAUUGCUUUUCCUCACAGUACAAUCACAACCUGGCAUUUUUACUUUUUAGUCUGUCUCCUCCACUUGAAAGUAUAAACUCCUUUAGAGCAGGGCUGCUUUAUUGGUAAUUUUAUCCCUAGUUCCUAGAGCCACUGUCCUAGCAUAAAGAACUUCAAUGAAUGUCGUGGAGUAUGAAUGGAUUUAUUCAGUGUUUAAAAAACCAUAAAUCCACUACUGAAUUGUAUUAUUUUCUUUUCUUUUUUUUUAAAAAAAUAAGUUUGUUUGUUUAUUUAUUUAUUUAUUCAGUCUUUUUAGGGCCACACUCGUGGCAUAUGGAGGUUCCCAGGCUAGGGAUCCAAUUGGAGCUACAGCUACCAGCCUACACACAGCCACAGCAACACACGAUCCGAGCCGUGUCUGCAACCUACACCACAGCCCACAGCAAUGCUGGAUCCUUAACCCACUGAAGGAGGCCAGGGAUUGAACCCGCAACCUUGUGGUUGCUAGUUGGGCUCGUUAACCACUGAGCCACUAGGGAACUCCUGUAUUAUUUUCUUAAACAGGCUUUCCAUAAUUGUGUGAAUAUUAAUACUGACAUAUUUCUGUACUAUACCUUGUUGUGGGGGAGACCUUCUUGGCUUUUUUUUUUUUUGUCUUUUUGUUAUUUCUUUGGGCCGCUCCCUUGGCAUAUGGAGGUUUCCAGGCUAGGGGUAGAAUCGGAGCUGUAGCCACUGGCCUACGCCAGAGCCACAGCAACUAGGGAUCCGAGCCGCGUCUGCAACCUACACCACAGCUCACGGCAACACCAGAUCGUUAACCCACUGAGCAGUGGCAGGGACCGAACCCGCAACCUCAUGGUUCCUAGUCGGAUUCGUUAACCACUGAACCACGACGGGAACUCCUCCUUUGGCUUUUAAAUUCAACUUUGAAUAAUUACUAGCAAAUUACGAAAACACUUGAAAAAGAAAAUGCAAUACCAAAAGUUAAAUUUAAAAGAUUUUGAUGAUUGUAUACAUCUGCAUAACCCCUGGUCUAGAUAAAAGAUCUCUCUGCCCCCCCCUGUUUUUUUUUUUUUGGUCUAAUUGGAGUUGUAGCCACCGGACUACACCAGAGCCACAGCAACAUGGGAUCCAAGCCGCAUUUGGGACCUAUACCACAGCUCACAGCAACGCCGGAUCCUUAACCCACUGAGCAAGGGCAGGGAUCAAACCCGCAACCUCAUGGUUCCUAGUUGGAUUCGUUAACCACUGAGCCACGAUAGGAACUCCCCUCUCUGCACUUUUACAACAAACUUGUCUUCCCAAGGCAACCAUGUGGUAGGCAGAAUAACAACCCUCUCCCCAACUGGUGAAUAUGAACAUACCUGUGAAAAUGUUACACGGCAAAAUGGACUUUGAGAUAAGGGAUUGUCCUGUGUUAACAUUGGUGGGCCCAAUGUAACCACAAGUCCCUAAAAAGUAGAAGAGGAAGACAGA